This 668-nucleotide unclassified non-coding RNA is filed under the name Hevea brasiliensis (rubber tree). Lineage: Eukaryota; Viridiplantae; Streptophyta; Magnoliopsida; Malpighiales; Euphorbiaceae. The record is from RNAcentral.
AGUGAUUGCAGAUAAACAUAACCUACACCUCCAAAUCCUUACAAGUCAAAAUUGCUAAAGUUUUUAGUGAGGAGAAACGAUAUAGUAAUUUCUUGUAUUGGAAGAAGCCAAAUAGGGAAUUGCCUAACCACAACUGAAAUGGUUGUGAUAGCAGUCAUGCAUUACAACCCACAGGCCACAGUCCCAGGCCCAGCUGUGAAAUGUCAGUCCUAAGUAGCACAUUCUUCCAGAUUGUGUGUUCCAUGUCUUACAUAAGAUCAUAGAACAAGAUUCAUGUGUAUUCAUGCUGUUUAAUAAAGGAAAAAGGGAAAGGAAAAAAAAAUGCAUUCCAGUUUUACAUUAGAGCUUAGUAUCCAAACACCUUAGCAUGAGUAUGCAUGUAAUUUAACAAUUCCCAAAAGAAAAUCCAUCCAAAAAAUAAAAGUUGCAAAAUUCAUAUUGUCUCCUCGAUGAAUAUGCUAAAAUUAGAAGUGUUUUACUUGAAACUCACUGUUAAACAGGUCAUACAGACAGUUAUUGGUAACAAUAAUAAAACUCAAAAUGGUCACAAGAACCAUUGAAGCUGGAAACAACACAGGCAUUUUAUGUGAUCGAAAAACUUCCUCUAAGUGAAGAGUUCUACAAGACCGUGAUUCAAUAAGCUAUAAUACAAGUCCAUGAAUGUUUGG